UCCAGGGGCGGGGGCGCAGGUUUGGCAGGAGCCCAGGGUUGGUUUUGCCCUGCUGAAACAGGCCCGUGCCUUCCUCUGGCCAGUGGUUUUGCCCCCACGGAUGGGGGCGGGGGUGCAGCUGUUCCAGCCAGGCAGCGGCGUGUGCUAGGUGUUCGAAGUAUCUUCCUCCAGCUGCGUUAGGACCCAGCGCGAAGGCAGAAACACAGAGGCGCCGGCCAGUGCACAGAUGGCAGAAUGAAAGCACAGAGAAGUCACCUAUGCAAGGUCGCACGGCUGGCAUAUGGUGAAUCAGGACCUGUCUGAUGUAUACAUUUUUUUCUUGGAGGUGUGUCCUUUUCUUGGAAGAUUUUUUGAUGUUUAACCACAAAAUAAUUUAACCACAAAAUAAUUUAACCACAAAAUAAUUCCUCCAGCCAUUUGUAGGACAGACACAUCAUACCAGCAUGGGAGUGAGAAGAGAAGCUAGGACCAGGGCUCUCGAAGGACCAACAUAAAGCUGUCUGCCUUCUUCUGGGACACAAUGUGCUAAA
This is a long non-coding RNA of Lutra lutra (Eurasian river otter), 530 nucleotides long. RefSeq lists it as uncharacterized. The record is from RefSeq and is a predicted model, not a curated record. NCBI's taxonomy places the organism in Eukaryota, Metazoa, Chordata, Mammalia, Carnivora, Mustelidae. The transcript has 3 exons.